RNAcentral lists this ribosomal RNA (515 nucleotides) under uncultured bacterium. RNAcentral's name for it is "partial 16S ribosomal RNA". It matches the Rfam family "Bacterial small subunit ribosomal RNA", at positions 28 to 523 of the family's 1533-position model. The record is from RNAcentral.
GAUGAACGCUGGCGGCGUGCCUAAUACAUGCAAGUCGAGCGAAUGGAUUAAGAGCUUGCUCUUAUGAAGUUAGCGGCGGACGGGUGAGUAACACGUGGGUAACCUGCCCAUAAGACUGGGAUAACUCCGGGAAACCGGGGCUAAUACCGGAUAACAUUUUGAACCGCAUGGUUCGAAAUUGAAAGGCGGCUUCGGCUGUCACUUAUGGAUGGACCCGCGUCGCAUUAGCUAGUUGGUGAGGUAACGGCUCACCAAGGCAACGAUGCGUAGCCGACGUGAGAGGGUGAUCGGCCACACUGGGACUGAGACACGGCCCAGACUCCUACGGGAGGCAGCAGUAGGGAAUCUUCCGCAAUGGACGAAAGUCUGAUGGAGCAACGCCGCGUGAGUGAUGAAGGCUUUCGGGUCGUAAAACUCUGUUGUUAGGGAAGAACAAGUGCUAGUUGAAUAAGCUGGCACCUUGACGGUACCUAACCAGGAAGCCACGGCUAACUACGUGCCAGCCGCCGCAGUAA